UACGGAGGAUGCGAGCGUUAUCCGGAUUUAUUGGGUUUAAAGGGUGCGUAGGCGGGCUUUUAAGUCAGCGGUAAGAAUUCGGGGCUCAACCCCGUCCGGCCGUUGAAACUGGGGGCCUUGAGUGGGCGAGAAGAAGGCGGAAUGCGUGGUGUAGCGGUGAAAUGCAUAGAUAUCACGCAGAACCCCGAUUGCGAAGGCAGCCUUCCGGCGCCCUACUGACGCUGAGGCACGAAAGUGCGGGGAUCGAACAGG
This 252-nucleotide ribosomal RNA is filed under the name uncultured bacterium. RNAcentral's name for it is "partial 16S ribosomal RNA". It matches the Rfam family "Bacterial small subunit ribosomal RNA", at positions 524 to 776 of the family's 1533-position model. The record is from RNAcentral.